Long non-coding RNA from Coregonus clupeaformis (lake whitefish), 253 nucleotides. RefSeq lists it as uncharacterized. The record is from RefSeq and is a predicted model, not a curated record. NCBI's taxonomy places the organism in Eukaryota, Metazoa, Chordata, Actinopteri, Salmoniformes, Salmonidae. The transcript is spliced from 3 exons.
CCUUCCUCUGCCAGAGGGGAAGAGACUAAGAAGAACAGGAAGUGGCGUUUCCCACCGAAAAUGCAUAAGUUUCCAAAGAUCAUGAUUAAGCUGUUCAAGACAAAAGGGAAACCGAAGAGACAUCCAGAACAGGAUGCUCUGCCUACCAAACGUCUCAGAGAGACUCAUAUUUCACAGGAUGCUGAGUGUGAGGUUCCAGAGGUUCCAUCCACUUCCCCACCCAAGGAGGACCUGACAACCACACCGGCCCCCC